This 369-nucleotide transfer-messenger RNA is filed under the name Candidatus Dormibacteria. Its description in RNAcentral is "Palsa-875 sp016464795 Standard tmRNA". It matches the Rfam family "transfer-messenger RNA". Rfam says of the family: Bacterial tmRNA, also known as 10Sa RNA or SsrA, is named for its dual tRNA and mRNA-like properties. Its role is to liberate the mRNA from a stalled ribosome. Lineage: Bacteria; Bacillati; Candidatus Dormiibacterota. RNAcentral also lists the same sequence under 1 other name. The record is from RNAcentral.
GGGGGCGUACGGUUUCGACGGGGUCGUGGUUUGCGUGAUGGCGAGUCGAGCCCCGGGCUCGUAAAACCGGGAAAAACAUAAGUGCGAACACUGCACAGCCCCUUGCGCUCGCUGCGUAAGUAAGGCAAACGAUCAGGCUACGGCCUGACGUCGACCGGUCGUUCGACUGUGGUGACCGGACCCGACGCUAAUACCAGCAGUCUCGGCCUCCGGUGGCGUCGCGGCGCCGGAGGCGACGUACACCGCGGCUGGCUGGUGCGAAGCCUGUCCCAGGGCGUUGCAUCGGUGAGAUGAAAGCGGGGACUACACUCGUAGAGGUUGCGCUUGACACGGCUUCGGACCCGGGUUCGAUUCCCGGCGCCUCCACCA